Ruditapes philippinarum (Manila clam) is the source of this 1161-nucleotide long non-coding RNA. RefSeq lists it as uncharacterized. The record is from RefSeq and is a predicted model, not a curated record. NCBI's taxonomy places the organism in Eukaryota, Metazoa, Mollusca, Bivalvia, Venerida, Veneridae. The transcript has 2 exons.
UUGAAAAAGUUUUUUUUUAUUAAGAGUAUAAAUAUCAAAACACACAAAAAUUACCUGUAAUAAUAUGAUGAACAAAACUAACAUGAUUUUAAAGUGCAACGCCACUAGAUAAGCAUAAUUAAUCAUUUAAAGAUCAAACUUAUGAAAAACGUUGAGUAAGAAAUAUUCUCAAACCAGGUGGAUAUUUGGUUGGGGUUUUUGUGCAAAAUUUUACAUAACGGAGUCUGAGAGAUUUUGACAUGCUAUAGGUAAUUCUAUGGAUAAGUGCCUAAAGAUAGAUCUUAUAAAAAUGAACUUGUACAUUUGCUAUCAAUUUACACAUUGUAAUAAUUUUUCACAUUAAUAAUUAAAAAUGAAUACAAAUCUGGGGGCGUGCUGCUUUAACACAUGUCAAAUGUUUUGAUGCUAUAAAGUACAAAACAAGAGGCACCAAUAGAUAAUAUAGAUAUAUGUUCCUGCUUGAAACAGAUCAGGGUAGCAGGGAAUAAAUAAUGAUUCCAACUAGAUUUAUAAAUGUACGACGAGGAAUAUUCUACAAAGUCUUAUUUGGAAAACAGUACACACUUGAAAAGUAAUUAAAAAUCAACACAAGUUAUUUUAUAUGAAACACUCCCUUUAAAGUUUUAAUUUCAAGUAUAACAUUUUUAUACCACACAUUCAUAUUUGUAACAGGAAAUUAUGCCUGGGUACAUGUAGAUGCUACUAUUACUUACUGAAAUUAUUUGUGGUUGCAUACGUAAUAAAUACAUGUAGUUAACGCUAAACUGCUGUACGUCAGUGGACAACUUGUACAAAUGUAUGGUAUAUACUUUUGGGCUGGCUAAAUGUUCAUCUUUAUAUUCCUAAAUAUAUAAUGAACAGUUCCACAAAUGGAAGCUGAACAAGUCAAUUGUAGGAACCCAGCGGGUUAAGGUUUAACUCACAUUGCUUAUUUUACUUUGUUAUUUAUUUUAAUUGAUAUUUAAAAUAUUUGUCAGUAAUGGAAUGCAUGAAGUAAUUAAAAUGCUUUAAAUCAGAAUUAUUAUCUCACUCCACUCAAUCAAUUAUCAAAGUCAUAUAUAAAUAUGGAAAUACAAAGUCUACAAUAUGCUAGAAUGAUAAACGUAUAAAAAUGUAAAAAAGACAAACCACACCGUCUUCAUUAAUAAUAUGAAGAACGUU